GGCGUGGGGCUGCCGGAGAAUCCAGUGCUCCCCAGGGACCCGGGGCGGAAGCCAGCCACGCUGGCGGCGGCGUCUGCCACGUAGGCCUGGUCCCACAGAGAUGGGUUCACGGCGGGUGCCGACCCCACGUGGUGGUGGUGGUGGUGGUGGUGGGGGUGGUGCAUGGGUAGAAUGGGGUUCAGGAGGUGGGAUGGGCCCCUGGAGAAGCCGCUGAACUGUGGGGGAGUGGGGAUGGGGUUGACCCUCGAGGGAGAGGUUGACCAUACCAUGUGCCGGGGGGGAGGCGGAGGAUGGUAGGAGUUGGAGCUGCCCCAGACGUACUGAUGAGGCCCAUGGAGAGGGCAGCCGCCGCCAUUCCCUGACGACCCAAAAGC
RNAcentral lists this long non-coding RNA (374 nucleotides) under Spirodela polyrhiza (greater duckweed). Its description in RNAcentral is "long non-coding RNA (SPOL_LNC002672)". Lineage: Eukaryota; Viridiplantae; Streptophyta; Magnoliopsida; Alismatales; Araceae. The record is from RNAcentral.